UCCCUGGUGGUCCAGUGGCUAAGACUCUGAGCUCCCAAGACAGGAAGCCUGGGUUUGAUCCCUUGUCAGGGAG
This 73-nucleotide transfer RNA is filed under the name Bos taurus (domestic cattle). It matches the Rfam family "tRNA". Rfam says of the family: Transfer RNA (tRNA) molecules are approximately 80 nucleotides in length. RNAcentral also lists the same sequence under 5 other names. The record is from Rfam by way of RNAcentral. Lineage: Eukaryota; Metazoa; Chordata; Mammalia; Artiodactyla; Bovidae.